Cyclopterus lumpus (lumpfish) is the source of this 996-nucleotide long non-coding RNA. RefSeq lists it as uncharacterized. Lineage: Eukaryota; Metazoa; Chordata; Actinopteri; Perciformes; Cyclopteridae. The transcript has 3 exons. The record is from RefSeq and is a predicted model, not a curated record.
UGUGUGUGUGUGUGUGUGUGUGUGUGUGUGUGUGUGUGUGUGUGUACCAAGUGUCCAUGUAUUUAUUAUCACACUCAAAGGUUUGGGAAUAAACACUUCUUUUUGCUCAAAUGCUGUGUGGUUCUGUAACUUCAAAGUCAUGUAUGUUCUCCUCUGUGUCCUUUUCGCAUACGUAUCCUGGCAUUGAAAUAGAACAACCUCCAGGUUUACGAUGUCUAAGGUAUUUCUGCUUCCCUCAACAGUAAAUCACACGCCAUCUCAAGUUUUGUGUCCACAGAGACUCUAAAUCUCCAAGACACUGAUGGUGCCUCUAUGUAAAUAGAAAAUAUUAUUCCUCAGAAAGAAAACAGCUUGAUUCUGUUUGCUCAUCAUCAAAAUUCACCACAAGAUGCAACGUUGGCCUUUUUAUAUGGCAACCUAAAACCCAGUGGCAUGUAAUUCUAUGCGCUAUUAAGUUUCCACUGAAGACUUGAGUGGCAAAUGUUAUAGGAAUAGUACUUAGUACCAUUUAAGUACUCUGUUCUGGCUUGGGAGUUUUUAACUCAAUGUUUAUGCAUUUGUGUUUGUGUAUCUGCAGAUUUUCUGGCUCCAGUUGCGUCUGUGCACAGGAGUGUUGUAAUAUUGUCCGUGUGUGUCUAAUGGACUUGUCUAAUGCAGAAAGGAUGUGGGCCUAAUCUGACACAACAAUCUGUUUCACAGUCUCGGGAGUUUGUAAAGAGAGACCACAAAAAGGAUCAGGUAAACGUGACAAGGUGAACCAAGUUUGCACAUAUUAAAUGAAACAAAGGAAGGAGACCUGGUUACUGGAAGGAAACGUGUUGAAGGAAGAGAGUAGGGCAGGUAGCGGGCGUGAAGAAAGCGCGCCCUCCUGACUGCAGCUGCUCCACUGCAGUCUCAACGUGGAGUUGAAUUCAUCUCUAAUGCUUAAUACAAACACAGUUUGAAGUGGAAGUGAGUGCAACAUUCAGCUCUUCGCGAUGCACACGCAGAGUUGUU